This is a long non-coding RNA of Bos taurus (domestic cattle), 2384 nucleotides long. The record is from Ensembl. NCBI's taxonomy places the organism in Eukaryota, Metazoa, Chordata, Mammalia, Artiodactyla, Bovidae.
CUCCUGCCCACAUCUACCCUCCACGUCAAUCACCCUCAUUAAUUCCCGCUGGAAAGGAUCACACAGGAGAAGUUCAUCAACUGCUGCUUGGAAAAGGCUGGAGGGCAGGGAAUGGUGUAGAGGGGGAAAGGGCUUGUCCUUGCUGGAGGGGAUUGGGGGCUCUGCUCCUCCUGACCUCCAAGGGGAGCUGAACUGAGCUGAGCUAUCCUUUCUAUCUUCUCAGACCAGUUUACCCCUUCUCUCCAGUGAAAACUCCACUCAACUUGUGAGCUGAUAUGCACCUGUCCUGGCCCCACCUUGGCUGAGAGGUGGCUCCCAAUCUCUGAGGGAGACAAGCCCUUCGCAGAAAGUGCCCAAGAAUUAAUGGGAAUGGGGAAGCUCAGUCCCACUCCUGGCUACUACCAGGCAACCCAAUAGGGCACUGCUUAGCUGCCCCGGGGUGUGGAGGUGCGGGUAGUGAUUCUGUGACUGUGGGAGACACAGGGGGAUCCAGAUGGAAGCACUGUUCCUGAAAACAAACCUAAGGAAACUUCUGGAGUCUUUGAAGGCUGAGCACCCAGCACGGCACCUGGCACACAGGCUAAAUGGUGGCACGUGGAAUAAAUGGAUGAGGUUUAAUGCUGAUUGGACCAUUAGCAUCUCCAGAGCUACAUGCCUCUCCCCUCGGUGGCUGUGGGUGUGGAGACUCAGCAAAGCCUGAAGAAUGAAAACAGUGGGCACUCAGAAAAGAGGAUGGCCAGGGAGGGGCCGUAGGACGCCAGUCACACUCCUGAGGACUUCAAAAGAUGGCUGUCCUUUCUGUCAGCUGGCGAAAAACUCAUUUCCCCUCACCCUCACCCUCUCCUCUGCCUGUCUUAGAGGCCUGUUUGUUUUCUUAUUUGUACUGCCUAGGGUGAGUUCAUGGCCACAACUGACUCACCACUCUUUCCAAGAGACUUGGGGAAGGAAAUAGGGGUUGCUUGGCUGGGGCCUCUGCCCACUAGCCCGGGGACUUUCAGAGCAGGGCCAGGGGGAACAUCGGGGUCUAUUCUGGGCUGUGUGAGCACCUCAAGCCAUUCACCCUCCCCAAACCUGCAAGGCCGAGGAGUCUUCUUUCACGGUAAUUGUCUAGUGGCCAGUCUCCUACCUCAAAUAAGAGGCCUCUCUCCUCAUCUAAAAGUUCUCCCUUCCCUUUGCCAAGGUCGAUUAAAAAGAAAGUUGGAGCUUUGGAGGGGCCCUUGGCAUCUCCCUGGGAAUCGGAGUCACCGCAGCUGAUGUUUGUUCUGAGGGCCCUCCAACAUGCGCCAGGCGCCUUCCUGGACUCAGGGUAGCACUCCUGGGACGCAACGCACGCAGAGCCAAGACCAAGCCAUGGCUGGACUCCAAUCUCUACCCCUCUGUGGACCCAAAUUGACAGAGGCCGACCCUGCCCUCAAGGAGCAUUCAGAUUCAGGGGAAAGGCACAACCUUGCCCCCAAAGAGCCCCUGGUCUAAGAGAAAACUGAAACCCAUUUAAAGAACUCUAAGAUGACAGGACUUCCCUGGUGGUCCAGUGGCUAAGACUCUGGAGGAAGGGGACCGAGGUUGAUCCCUGGUCGGGGAACUAGAUCCCACAUGCCACAACUAAGACCCCAUGCAGCCAGAUAACUAAAUAUUUUUUUAAAAGAACACAAACAUGGGAAUCCAAAGGAAACUCUCCAACUGGAUCAAGAUGAGUGGAGGAUGAAUGAGGGUUGGGGAGAGAAGCACUGUGCGCUCAGAGCUUAGGCAGUAGCUGUCCUGACUUGAGGGCGCCCCUGUUCCUACAUGGGUCAGCUCACUCCUGGCUCCUCCAUCCGGAAGCUCAUUCCCUGACCCCCUCAUUCCCACAAUGCACUGCGCGGGGAGUUGUGCAAGGGUCAGGCGGCAGGGUGGCAGGCUGGCUGGAGAGGGGAGAUUGCUGUCUCCCUCCAACUCCCUGAGGCCUUCCCUCCUGCAGCCCGGCCUCUGUGCAGCAAGCACCCUCCUCCGCGGUUGUUGUCGGCUGUCUGGCCUGAGGCUUCCCCUCCCUCCCCCACACCUUCCUGCCCAAGAACAGCGGCCAGAGGCCUAAACAGGAGAAAGCCAGAGGCCUAAGACAGGAGAAAGCCAGAGGCAAGAGCGGGCUGAGGCAUGGCUGAGUCCACAAGAGCAAGAAGAGAGUCAAAUGUCCCCUGGACAGAGCCUUGUGCUGGGAGGUUUCCUGCCUGAGAUGGGCAUCAGUAAGCACCCAACAAAUAUAGCAGGACUUAGCCCCAGGCUCAGAGACGCCCAAGGUGGACUCUAGAUUUAAAACUAUGAAAAUCAGAGGGUCCUGGAGAGAGAUGUGAGUGAGUGGUUUUAUAACACUCCCAGCCAUCUCCACCUGUAACUGCCUACCUUGGAAG